RNAcentral lists this ribosomal RNA (1218 nucleotides) under metagenome. RNAcentral describes it as "bacterial LSU rRNA". It matches the Rfam family "Bacterial large subunit ribosomal RNA", at positions 1590 to 2818 of the family's 2925-position model. The record is from RNAcentral.
GUAGUGUAUGUCAUACUUCCAAGAAAAGCUUGCACUGUCAUAAGUAAAAAAUGCCUGUACCAUAACCGACACAGGUGGGUAGGUAGAGUAUACUAAGGGGCGCGAGAUAACUCUCUCUAAGGAACUCGGCAAAAUGACUCCGUAACUUCGGGAGAAGGAGUGCCUUAUUUAUAAGGUUGCAAUAACAAGAUCCAAGCAACUGUUUAUCAAAAACACAGGUCUCCGCUAAGUCGUAAGACGAUGUAUGGGGGCUGACGCCUGCCCAGUGCCAGAAGGUUAAAGAAGUUGGUUAGCAUUAGCGAAGCUGAUAACUGAAGCCCUGGUGAACGGCGGCCGUAACCAUAACGGUCCUAAGGUAGCGAAAUUCCUUGUCGGGUAAGUUCCGACCCGCACGAAAGGCGUAAUGAUUUGGAUACUGUCUCGGAGAGGGGCUCGGUGAAAUAGACUUGUCUGUGAAGAUGCGGACUACCUGCACCUGGACAGAAAGACCCUAUGAAGCUUUACUGUAACUUGAAAUUGAAAUUGGACUUUAGUCGCGCAGCAUAGGUGGGAGGCUUUGAUGAUGUUCUUGCGGGAACAUUGGAGCUAUCAGUGAGAUACCACUCUUCUAAUGUUAGGUUUCUAACUUUGAACCAUUAUCUGGUCAAAGGACAGUUUCAGGCGGGCAGUUUGACUGGGGCGGUCGCCUCCCAAAUGGUAACGGAGGCGUACAAAGGUUUCCUCUGAACGGAUAGAAAUCGUAUCUAGAGUGUAAAGGCAUAAGGAAGCUUGACUGUGAGACCUACAAGUCGAGCAGGGACGAAAGUCGGUCUUAGUGAUCUGACGGUACUGAGUGGAAAGGCCGUCACUCAACGGAUAAAAGUUACUCUAGGAUAACAGGCUGAUCUCCCCCAAGAGUUCACAUCGACGGGGAGGUUUGGCACCUCGAUGUCGGCUCAUCGCAUCCUGGGGCGGUAGUACGUCCCAAGGGUUGGGCUGUUCGCCCAUGAAAGCGGUACGCGAGCUGGGUUCAGAACGUCGUGAGACAGUUCGGUCCAUAUCCGGUGUAGGCGUUAGAAUAUUGAGAGGAGCCUUCUUUAGUACGAGAGGACCGAGAAGGACAUACCUCUGGUGUACCAGUUAUCGUGCCAACGGUAAACGCUGGGUAGCUAUGUAUGGAGUGGAUAACCGCUGAAAGCAUCUAAGUGGGAAGCCCACCUCAAGAUGAGUAUUCUCAUC